GAUGAACGCUGGCGGCGUGCCUAAUACAUGCAAGUCGAGCGAACGGACGAGAAGCUUGCUUCUCUGAUGUUAGCGGCGGACGGGUGAGUAACACGUGGAUAACCUACCUAUAAGACUGGGAUAACUUCGUGAAACCGGAGCUAAUACCGGAUAAUAUUUUGAACCGCAUGGUUCAAAAGUGAAAGACGGUCUUGCUGUCACUUAUAGAUGGAUCCGCGCUGCAUUAGCUAGUUGGUAAGGUAACGGCUUACCAAGGCAACGAUGCAUAGCCGACCUGAGAGGGUGAGCGGCCACACUGGAACUGAGACACGGUCCAGACUCCUACGGGAGGCAGCAGUAGGGAAUCUUCCGCAAUGGGCGAAAGCCUGACGGAGCAACGCCGCGUGAGUGAUGAAGGUCUUCGGAUCGUAAAACUCUGUUAUUAGGGAAGAACAUAUGUGUAAGUAACUGUGCACAUCUUGACGGUACCUAAUCAGAAAGCCACGGCUAACUACGUG
RNAcentral lists this ribosomal RNA (497 nucleotides) under uncultured bacterium. Its description in RNAcentral is "partial 16S ribosomal RNA". It matches the Rfam family "Bacterial small subunit ribosomal RNA", at positions 28 to 507 of the family's 1533-position model. The record is from RNAcentral.